CCCUGGCGCGGCCAGACACCUCAACGUGGUGCCAGGGUCUAGUACUCUUUGCUAGAGAGGAAGCUAAGCGCCUGCU
This 76-nucleotide non-coding RNA is filed under the name Trypanosoma cruzi strain CL Brener. The record is from RNAcentral. Lineage: Eukaryota; Euglenozoa; Kinetoplastea; Trypanosomatida; Trypanosomatidae.